This 429-nucleotide unclassified non-coding RNA is filed under the name Hevea brasiliensis (rubber tree). Lineage: Eukaryota; Viridiplantae; Streptophyta; Magnoliopsida; Malpighiales; Euphorbiaceae. The record is from RNAcentral.
AUCUCUUCAAUGGUCCUCAUGAAAAUGCGCGAGAUUGCUGAGGCGUACCUUGGAACCACUGUAAAGAAUGCUGUUGUUACUGUUCCUGCUUAUUUCAAUGAUUCGCAGCGUCAAGCUACAAUGGACGCUGGUGUCAUUGCUGGCCGUGAUGUGUAUUGUAAAUGAGCCCUCUGCUGCUGCUAUUGCUUAUGGGCUUGACAAGAAAGCGGAUAGUUUUGGUGAGAGGAAUGUGCUUAUCUUUGAUCUAGGUGGUGGCACUUUUGAUGUCUCUCUUGUUAACAUUCAAGAGGGUAUUUUUGAAGUGAAAUCUAUAGCUGGAGAUACCCAUUUAGGAGGGGAAGAUUUUGACAAUAGGAUGGUGAACCACUUUGUUGAGGAGUUUAAGGGGAGGCAUAACAAAGAUAUUAGUGGUAACCCAAGAGCAUUGAG